This 253-nucleotide ribosomal RNA is filed under the name uncultured bacterium. RNAcentral's name for it is "partial 16S ribosomal RNA". It matches the Rfam family "Bacterial small subunit ribosomal RNA", at positions 524 to 776 of the family's 1533-position model. The record is from RNAcentral.
UACGUAGGGGGCAAGCGUUGUCCGGAAUCAUUGGGCGUAAAGCGCGUGCAGGCGGCCAGAAAAGUCCGCUGUGAAAACUCGAGGCUCAACUUCGAGCUGUCGGUGGAAACUUUCUGGCUAGAGUCCGGAAGAGGAGAAUGGAAUUCCUGGUGUAGCGGUGAAAUGCGCAGAUAUCAGGAAGAACACCCGUGGCGAAGGCGGUUCUCUGGGACGGUACUGACGCUGAGACGCGAAAGCGUGGGGAGCGAACAGG